GCUGGGCAUGGUGGCACGUGCCUGUAAUCCUAGCUACUCGGGAGGCUGAGAUAGGAGAAUAGCUUGAACCCAGGAGGCAGAGGCUGCAGUGAGUUGAGAUUGUGCCACUGCACUUCAGCCUGGGUAACAGAGCAAGACUCUGUCUCCA
RNAcentral lists this small RNA (148 nucleotides) under Pongo abelii (Sumatran orangutan). Its description in RNAcentral is "Metazoan signal recognition particle RNA (ENSPPYG00000034035.1)". The record is from Rfam by way of RNAcentral. Lineage: Eukaryota; Metazoa; Chordata; Mammalia; Primates; Hominidae.